This 245-nucleotide ribosomal RNA is filed under the name Streptococcus dysgalactiae subsp. equisimilis. RNAcentral describes it as "partial 23S ribosomal RNA". It matches the Rfam family "Bacterial large subunit ribosomal RNA", at positions 1 to 245 of the family's 2925-position model. Lineage: Bacteria; Bacillati; Bacillota; Bacilli; Lactobacillales; Streptococcaceae. The record is from RNAcentral.
GAUAAGGUUAAGUUAAUAAGGGCGCACGGUGGAUGCCUUGGCACUAGAAGCCGAAGAAGGACGUGACUAACGACGAAAUGCUUUGGGGAGCUGUAAGUAAGCGCUGAUCCAGAGAUGUCCGAAUGGGGGAACCCACUAGCUACUGGCUAGUAUCCAUAACUGUUAAGGUUAUGAGAAGGAAGACGCAGUGAACUGAAACAUCUAAGUAGCUGCAGGAAGAGAAAGCAAACGCGAUUGCCUUAGUA